This 454-nucleotide ribosomal RNA is filed under the name uncultured bacterium. RNAcentral describes it as "bacterial SSU rRNA". It matches the Rfam family "Bacterial small subunit ribosomal RNA", at positions 33 to 507 of the family's 1533-position model. The record is from RNAcentral.
ACGCUGGCGGCGUGCUUCAUACAUGCAAGUCGAACGAGAAUCUAACUCGGUUAGAGGAAAGUGGCGGACGGGUGAGUAAUAUGUAGAGAAUCUGCCCUUGAGAGGGGGACAACAGAGGGAAACUUCUGCUAAUACCCCAUAUGAGCGUAGCUGAAAUGCUAUUCUUGAAAACUCCGGUGCUCAAGGAUGAGUCUGCAUCUGAUUAGCUAGUUGGCGGUGUAAUGGACCACCAAGGCGACGAUCAGUAGCUGGUUUGAGAGGAUGAUCAGCCACAAUGGGACUGAGACACGGUCCAGACUCCUACGGGAGGCAGCAGUCGGGAAUAUUGCGCAAUGGAGGAAACUCUGACGCAGUGACGCCGCGUAUAGGAAGAAGGUUUUCGGAUUGUAAACUAUUGUCAUUAGGGAAGAAGAAAGUGACGGUACCUAUCGAGGAAGUCACGGCUAACUACGUG